UGGGGAAUAUUGCACAAUGGGGGAAACCCUGAUGCAGCGACGCCGCGUGAGCGAAGAAGGUUUUCGAAUCGUAAAGCUCUGUCCUAUGAGAAGAUAAUGACGGUAUCAUAGGAGGACACCCCGGCUAAAUACGUGCCAGCAGCCGCGGUAAUACGUAUGGGGCGAGCGUUGUCCGGAAUUAUUGGGAGUAAAGGGUACGUAGGCGGUCUAUUAAGUCAGGUGUGAAAGCGUGAGGCUUAACCUCAUUAAGCACUUGAAACUGAUAGACUUGCGUGAAGGAGAGGAAAGUGGAAUUCCUAGUGUAGCGGUGAAAUGCGUAGAUAUUAGGAGGAAUACCGGUGGCGAAGGCGACUUUCUGGACUUUUACUGACGCUCAGGUACGAAAGCGUGGGGAGCAAACAGG
Molecule: ribosomal RNA, 403 nt
Filed under: Verrucomicrobiota bacterium
Lineage: Bacteria; Pseudomonadati; Verrucomicrobiota
Description: Verrucomicrobia bacterium partial 16S ribosomal RNA
Rfam family: Bacterial small subunit ribosomal RNA
Source: RNAcentral